UGUGUGUACGUAUGCGAUCAGAAGAAGGAGCCAGGAGAGCUCAAACCCUAGUUCAACAAAUCCUCCAAAUCGAAGCUCAAAUCAAGCCUGAAUCGUCUGCAUGAUUACAAAUUCGUGAUCGCCUAGUCGUGGGGAUCAUAAGUUGACUCUAAACAAGCUAGGUGGGAGCUUGAAAAGGAACGGGUCAAACGGAUCAUGGAUGCGAAGAAUGUUUGCGCGGACGCGGGGGUAAAACGGCUUAUGGAAUUUACGUGGCUAUGAAUCAGCAAAUUAUUAAGGCAAGGUAUUAAAACGGGUCAAUACUUUGACCCGCGCC
This 316-nucleotide long non-coding RNA is filed under the name Helianthus annuus (common sunflower). Its description in RNAcentral is "sRNA HanXRQr2_Chr15g0682401". Lineage: Eukaryota; Viridiplantae; Streptophyta; Magnoliopsida; Asterales; Asteraceae. The record is from RNAcentral.